GGGUUGUGAGGUUAAGCGACUAAGCGUACACGGUGGAUGCCUAGGCAGUCAGAGGCGAUGAAGGGCGUGCUAAUCUGCGAAAAGCGUCGGUAAGCUGAUAUGAAGCGUUACAACCGACGAUACCCGAAUGGGGAAACCCAGUGCAAUUCGUUGCACUAUUGCAUGGUGAAUACAUAGCCAUGCAAGGCGAACCGGGGGAACUGAAACAUCUAAGUACCCCGAGGAAAAGAAAUCAACCGAGAUUCCCCCAGUAGCGGCGAGCGAACGGGGAAGAGCCCAGAGUCUGAAUCAGUUUAUGUGUUAGUGGAAGCGUCUGGAAAGUCGCACGGUACAGGGUGAUAGUCCCGUACACAAAAAUGCAUAUUCUGUGAACUCGAUGAGUAGGGCGGGACACGUGACAUCCUGUCUGAAUAUGGGGGGACCAUCCUCCAAGGCUAAAUACUCCUGACUGACCGAUAGUGAACCAGUACCGUGAGGGAAAGGCGAAAAGAACCCCGGCGAGGGGAGUGAAAUAGAACCUGAAACCGUGUACGUACAAGCAGUGGGAGCACCUUCGUGGUGUGACUGCGUACCUUUUGUAUAAUGGGUCAGCGACUUAUAUUUUGUAGCAAGGUUAACCGAAUAGGGGAGCCGUAGGGAAACCGAGUCUUAACUGGGCGUCUAGUUGCAAGGUAUAGACCCGAAACCCGGUGAUCUAGCCAUGGGCAGGUUGAAGGUUGGGUAACACUAACUGGAGGACCGAACCGACUAAUGUUGAAAAAUUAGCGGAUGACUUGUGGCUGGGGGUGAAAGGCCAAUCAAACCGGGAGAUAGCUGGUUCUCCCCGAAAGCUAUUUAGGUAGCGCCUCGUGAACUCAUCUUCGGGGGUAGAGCACUGUUUCGGCUAGGGGGUCAUCCCGACUUACCAAACCGAUGCAAACUCCGAAUACCGAAGAAUGUUAUCACGGGAGACACACGGCGGGUGCUAACGUCCGUCGUGAAGAGGGAAACAACCCAGACCGCCAGCUAAGGUCCCAAAGUCAUGGUUAAGUGGGAAACGAUGUGGGAAGGCACAGACAGCCAGGAUGUUGGCUUAGAAGCAGCCAUCAUUUAAAGAAAGCGUAAUAGCUCACUGGUCGAGUCGGCCUGCGCGGAAGAUGUAACGGGGCUAAACCAUGCACCGAAGCUGCGGCAGCGACACUUAGGUGUUGUUGGGUAGGGGAGCGUUCUGUAAGCCGUUGAAGGUGACCUGUGAGGGUUGCUGGAGGUAUCAGAAGUGCGAAUGCUGACAUAAGUAACGAUAAUGCGGGUGAAAAACCCGCACGCCGGAAGACCAAGGGUUCCUGUCCAACGUUAAUCGGGGCAGGGUGAGUCGACCCCUAAGGCGAGGCUGAAAAGCGUAGUCGAUGGGAAACAGGUUAAUAUUCCUGUACUUGGUGUUACUGCGAAGGGGGGACGGAGAAGGCUAGGCUAGCCGGGCGACGGUUGUCCCGGUUUAAGCAUGUAGGCGGAGUGACCAGGUAAAUCCGGUUGCUUAUCAACGCUGAGGUGUGAUGACGAGCCACUACGGUGGUGAAGUAGUUGAUGCCAAGCUUCCAGGAAAAGCCUCUAAGCAUCAGGUAACAUUAAAUCGUACCCCAAACCGACACAGGUGGUCAGGUAGAGAAUACUCAGGCGCUUGAGAGAACUCGGGUGAAGGAACUAGGCAAAAUGGUGCCGUAACUUCGGGAGAAGGCACGCUGGCGCUAGGUGAAGAGACUUGCUCUCAGAGCUGAAGCCAGUCGCAGAUACCAGCUGGCUGCAACUGUUUAAUAAAAACACAGCACUGUGCAAACACGAAAGUGGACGUAUACGGUGUGACGCCUGCCCGGUGCUGGAAGGUUAAUUGAUGGGGUCAGCCGCAAGGCGAAGCUCUUGAUCGAAGCCCCAGUAAACGGCGGCCGUAACUAUAACGGUCCUAAGGUAGCGAAAUUCCUUGUCGGGUAAGUUCCGACCUGCACGAAUGGCGUAAUGAUGGCCAGGCUGUCUCCACCCGAGACUCAGUGAAAUUGAACUCGCUGUGAAGAUGCAGUGUACCCGCGGCAAGACGGAAAGACCCCGUGAACCUUUACUAUAGCUUGACACUGAACAUUGAGCCUUGAUGUGUAGGAUAGGUGGGAGGCAUUGAAGUGUGGACGCCAGUCUGCAUGGAGCCAACCUUGAAAUACCACCCUUUAAUGUUUGAUGUUCUAACUCGGCCCCGUAAUCCGGGGUGAGGACAGUGUCUGGUGGGUAGUUUGACUGGGGCGGUCUCCUCCCAAAGAGUAACGGAGGAGCACGAAGGUUAGCUAAUCACGGUCGGACAUCGUGAGGUUAGUGCAAAGGCAUAAGCUAGCUUGACUGCGAGAGUGACGGCUCGAGCAGGUACGAAAGUAGGUCUUAGUGAUCCGGUGGUUCUGAAUGGAAGGGCCAUCGCUCAACGGAUAAAAGGUACUCCGGGGAUAACAGGCUGAUACCGCCCAAGAGUUCAUAUCGACGGCGGUGUUUGGCACCUCGAUGUCGGCUCAUCACAUCCUGGGGCUGAAGUAGGUCCCAAGGGUAUGGCUGUUCGCCAUUUAAAGUGGUACGCGAGCUGGGUUUAGAACGUCGUGAGACAGUUCGGUCCCUAUCUGCCGUGGGCGUUGGAAGAUUGAGAGGGGCUGCUCCUAGUACGAGAGGACCGGAGUGGACGAAUCACUGGUGUUCGGGUUGUCAUGCCAAUGGCAUUGCCCGGUAGCUAAAUUCGGAAGAGAUAACCGCUGAAAGCAUCUAAGCGGGAAACUUGCCUCGAGAUGAGUCUUCCCUGGGGCUUUAAGCCCCCUGAAGGAACGUUAAAGACUAUGACGUUGAUAGGCUGGGUGUGUAAGUGCAGCGAUGCAUUGAGCUAACCAGUACUAAUGAUCCGUGAGGCUUAACCUUACAACACCAAAGGUGUUUUG
This 2936-nucleotide ribosomal RNA is filed under the name Yersinia bercovieri ATCC 43970. RNAcentral describes it as "23S ribosomal RNA". It matches the Rfam family "Bacterial large subunit ribosomal RNA". The record is from RNAcentral. Lineage: Bacteria; Pseudomonadati; Pseudomonadota; Gammaproteobacteria; Enterobacterales; Yersiniaceae.